Oncorhynchus tshawytscha (Chinook salmon) is the source of this 550-nucleotide long non-coding RNA. The record is from Ensembl. NCBI's taxonomy places the organism in Eukaryota, Metazoa, Chordata, Actinopteri, Salmoniformes, Salmonidae.
UAGUGGUAGAACCAGCUGAGACCUACUUUUAUGUCCGCACUCUGCCAGCAGCCACUGCUGGAGUGUUGCUGGCUCCAUUGAUGCCUCCUCCGCUCCCAUCCAGCCAAUCAGACCACAGCUGUUUAUGCUGAAGAAAUGUGAUCGUUCUUUGCUCCAGCCUCUGAGCAGCGAGCAGCGCUAGAAGCAGAGCAAGAGAGAGAGAGAGAGAGCGCGCAGGCGGGCUAGAGAAAGAGGGAGGGCUGCAGACAGUAGAAGGGAAUAAGCUCCUCUUAGAGCCGUUUGAGUGGCGCUCGUAGAGGCUUGUGAGACUCGGGUUCGGUGAGGCUGUGAUUUGUACCCCCCCACCCCUCUCCCCCGAGGCUCCCCAGCGCUGGAGGGAUGCAGAGGACACCGUGUCAGGGCGUGUGAAGAGGGUGUGUGCCUGGAUAGGCUUGCCAGGACUGCCAGGCAGAAGUCGUCUGUCAAAUCCCAGAGGCAUCGCUGCGCUGAAAGACAACCCUGAGAUUGAUGUCUGAGGUGAGGCACAUCAGCCCAGUCACAAGUCCUUCAC